CAACCCUCAAGCUCUGCUUGGUAUUGGGCCUCGUCUAUUACUGACGGGCCUUAAAAUCAGUGGCGGUGCCAUUAGGCUCUAAGCGUAGUAAUUUUUCUCGCUAUGGAUGUCUAUUGGAUACUUGCCAGUAACCCCAAAUUUUAAAGG
RNAcentral lists this unclassified non-coding RNA (147 nucleotides) under uncultured Helotiales. RNAcentral's name for it is "sequence contains ITS2". The record is from RNAcentral. Lineage: Eukaryota; Fungi; Ascomycota; Leotiomycetes; Helotiales.